GACGAACGCUGGCGGCGCGCCUAACACAUGCAAGUCGAACGGAGCUGAGAGAAGCUUGCUUUUCUUAGCUUAGUGGCGAACGGGUGAGUAACGCGUGAGUAACCAGCCCUGGAGUGGGGGACAACAGUUGGAAACGACUGCUAAUACCGCAUAAGCCCACGAUCCGGCAUCGGAUUGAGGGAAAAGGAUUUAUUCGCUUCAGGAUGGACUCGCGUCCAAUUAGCUAGUUGGUGAGGUAACGGCCCACCAAGGCGACGAUUGGUAGCCGGACUGAGAGGUUGAACGGCCACAUUGGGACUGAGACACGGCCCAGAAUCCUACGGGAGGCAGCAGUGGGGGAUAUUGCACAAUGGGGGAAACCCUGAUGCAGCGACGCCGCGUGGAGGAAGAAGGUUUUCGGAUUGUAAACUCCUGUCGUUAGGGACGAUAAUGACGGUACCUAACAAGAAAGCACCGGCUAACUACGUG
RNAcentral lists this ribosomal RNA (468 nucleotides) under uncultured bacterium. RNAcentral's name for it is "partial 16S ribosomal RNA". It matches the Rfam family "Bacterial small subunit ribosomal RNA", at positions 28 to 507 of the family's 1533-position model. The record is from RNAcentral.